UACGUAGGGCGCAAGCGUUGUCCGGAAUUAUUGGGCGUAAAGAGCUCGUAGGUGGUUUGUCGCGUUGUUCGUGAAAACUCACUAGCUUAACUGUGGGCGUGCGGGCGAUACGGGCAGACUGGAGUACUGCAGGGGGAGACUGGAAUUCCUGGUGUAGCGGUGGAAUGCGCAGAUAUCAGGAGGAACACCGGUGGCGAAGGCGGGGUCUCUGG
Molecule: ribosomal RNA, 212 nt
Filed under: uncultured bacterium
Lineage: Bacteria
Description: partial 16S ribosomal RNA
Rfam family: Bacterial small subunit ribosomal RNA
Source: RNAcentral